RNAcentral lists this ribosomal RNA (189 nucleotides) under uncultured marine bacterium. RNAcentral describes it as "partial 16S ribosomal RNA". It matches the Rfam family "Bacterial small subunit ribosomal RNA", at positions 338 to 524 of the family's 1533-position model. The record is from RNAcentral.
CCUACGGGAGGCAGCAGUGAGGAAUAUUGGGCAAUGGAGGCAACUCUGACCCAGCCAUGCCGCGUGCAGGAAGACUGCCCUAUGGGUUGUAAACUUCUUUUAUAUAGGAAGAAACAGUGGUAUGUAUACCACCUUGACGGUACUAUAUGAAUAAGCACCGGCUAACUCCGUGCCAGCAGCCGCGGUAAU